GCUGGGCAUGGUGGUGUGUGCCUGUAGUCCCAGCUGCUCAGGAGGCUGAGGCGGGAGGAUGGCUUGAGCCCAGGAGGUUGAGGCUGCAGUGAGCCAUGAUCAUGCCACUGCACCCCAGCCUGGGCAACAGAGCAAGACCCUGUCUCAA
RNAcentral lists this signal recognition particle RNA (148 nucleotides) under Pan paniscus (pygmy chimpanzee). RNAcentral describes it as "Metazoan signal recognition particle RNA". It matches the Rfam family "Metazoan signal recognition particle RNA". From Rfam's summary of the family: The signal recognition particle (SRP) is a universally conserved ribonucleoprotein. Lineage: Eukaryota; Metazoa; Chordata; Mammalia; Primates; Hominidae. RNAcentral also lists the same sequence under 1 other name. The record is from Rfam by way of RNAcentral.